This 779-nucleotide ribosomal RNA is filed under the name uncultured Enterobacteriaceae bacterium. RNAcentral's name for it is "SSU rRNA". It matches the Rfam family "Bacterial small subunit ribosomal RNA", at positions 73 to 846 of the family's 1533-position model. Lineage: Bacteria; Pseudomonadati; Pseudomonadota; Gammaproteobacteria; Enterobacterales; Enterobacteriaceae. The record is from RNAcentral.
AGAGAGCUUGCUCUCGGGUGACGAGCGGCGGACGGGUGAGUAAUGUCUGGGAAACUGCCUGAUGGAGGGGGAUAACUACUGGAAACGGUAGCUAAUACCGCAUAACGUCGCAAGACCAAAGUGGGGGACCUUCGGGCCUCAUGCCAUCAGAUGUGCCCAGAUGGGAUUAGCUAGUAGGUGGGGUAACGGCUCACCUAGGCGACGAUCCCUAGCUGGUCUGAGAGGAUGACCAGCCACACUGGAACUGAGACACGGUCCAGACUCCUACGGGAGGCAGCAGUGGGGAAUAUUGCACAAUGGGCGCAAGCCUGAUGCAGCCAUGCCGCGUGUGUGAAGAAGGCCUUCGGGUUGUAAAGCACUUUCAGCGGGGAGGAAGGCGGUGAGGUUAAUAACCUCAUCGAUUGACGUUACCCGCAGAAGAAGCACCGGCUAACUCCGUGCCAGCAGCCGCGGUAAUACGGAGGGUGCAAGCGUUAAUCGGAAUUACUGGGCGUAAAGCGCACGCAGGCGGUCUGUCAAGUCGGAUGUGAAAUCCCCGGGCUCAACCUGGGAGCUGCAUUCGAAACUGGCAGGCUAGAGUCUUGUAGAGGGGGGUAGAAUUCCAGGUGUAGCGGUGAAAUGCGUAGAGAUCUGGAGGAAUACCGGUGGCGAAGGCGGCCCCCUGGACAAAGACUGACGCUCAGGUGCGAAAGCGUGGGGAGCAAACAGGAUUAGAUACCUUGGUAGUCCACGCCGUAAACGAUGUCGAUUUGGAGGUUGUGCCCUUGAGGCGUGGCUUC